Molecule: non-coding RNA, 212 nt
Organism: Molossus molossus (Pallas's mastiff bat)
Lineage: Eukaryota; Metazoa; Chordata; Mammalia; Chiroptera; Molossidae
Product: small Cajal body-specific RNA 2
Exons: 1
Source: RefSeq, a predicted model, not a curated record
UUGUAUAUGAGGGAUAUUAACCAUUUGUUAGUUGCACUGCAAUAUCUUCCCCCUAACUCUUUUUUUUUCCCUUCGAUCUGUGAUUAGAAAAAUAUAUUCUCUCACCCCAGACCUGAUCCUACAGGUUCCGGUGCUCAGGAGUGAUGAACUGAUCAGCUAGACGAGGCCGGGCUUGUUCCGGGCUGAUGAUUAUCGAGGCGAUUCUGAUCUGA